Molecule: long non-coding RNA, 1356 nt
Organism: Lathyrus oleraceus (garden pea)
Lineage: Eukaryota; Viridiplantae; Streptophyta; Magnoliopsida; Fabales; Fabaceae
Exons: 2
Source: RefSeq, a predicted model, not a curated record
CAAAAAUAAUUAAUAAAGCUCUUCUCUCACACACACGUCAUUCUGAGAAAAAUCCUUUCUCACACUCCACUCAAUACCGUUACACUCAGCUCACACCUCACCCACAACUCUCAUUAAACCCUCACUCCAUCACUCAUUUCCCAUGACGCGCCUCUCCUCACAAUCCUCAACGUCUCUCUUCACCGUUACUACCUCUCACUCUCACAAUCCCUCACACUCCCUCACACGCCUCAUUAUCCCUCUGUAAAAAAGGCUGAAAAAAGAAAAAAAGAGAAAGAGAAGUAAAGGAGGAGACUCUUCGUCUCCUUCAAAACCCAAACACCACCAUCCAAAAAUCUCACCUCCAUCAUCACAAACCACAAAACCUCACCGUUCACCCACCUUCGCCUCCGCCUUCUUCCAUCAACCCCACAACCGCGCUCAAACCUUCACUUCGCCUCCUUCGUCUUCCAACAAGUGAAACCACCGAUCCACCCACCAACAACAACGCCUUCACGACUCCGGAGAACUCCACCCUCCAUCCAAGAUCCGCCUCCACACAUCUUCCUCACUGUCGAUUCACCAUCCACCGUCAAAACCGCUAUCACAAACCCACAAAACUCACAGAUCUACAACCCACCUUCACCGACGACUUACCUCAACCAUCGCCACCGUCCGCCAUUUCAAUCGCAACUCCAACCGUUGCCGCCGUCAAAAACUCCACGAGGAAGUCUAUCUUCCAUUCUUCUCCGGAUCCACCACGUCUUCAACCGUCCAACGAUUUCUCUCUUCCUCCGGCCGACUCCACAGUCCCAAACUUCAUUCCAGAUUCGCAUCCAACCCAGCAGUGAUCAACAACAACGGAUUUGUUCAAACUCAGCUUUCCGACAACAUCACCUUGACAACAACUCAGCAAACAGGGCAAGUCUUUAACAUCAAAGAGGACAGAAACUCAACAACACAAUGAAAGAUGAACUCAGCCGUUAAAGCAUUAUGGGUGUCGAAUCGAUGAGUUUAAAGUGUUGCGUCUCGGUGAGGUUUUUUUUUGCUCCAUGGUAUAGGCUGUGAAAAUUGAAUGCAACAGCGUAAAAGUAUGACUUCCUGCAGGACCACAACAACAAGUAAUGGAGUGCUUCUUGUACGGUGCCGAAUUCAAGUCGAUAAUGGGGACGUUCCGUGUUCACUAUGUUAUGAGGCUUUGGUUUGUAUAUUGUUUCUAUCUCUUGUAUGAUAAUUAGGCUUAAGUGUGGGGGUGUGUGCUUUAGAAUCAUAUUGUUUGGUAUAUCUUUCAUGUUUGUACAUAAUUUGGUGACAUUGUAAAACAAUGCAUUGUAAUUAUUUUGUUUUCAUUAUGCUAAAUUGAAAUUUUAAUUCGCA